UUUAGUAUCUUAUGUUGCCUGCGCUUUAACUAGCGCGGCGACUAAAACCUUACACACAGUGCUUAGUUUUUUCUAACAUUGCUUUGCGUGGAAUAAGCCUAGCUUUUCUGCGCAGAGGUUAUCAAAACACAAGAUUUUAAUAUCUUUUAUUACAAAUUCUAGUCAAGAAGUUUUAUUAAAAACAAAUCUUCAAAACUUUCAACAACGGA
RNAcentral lists this unclassified non-coding RNA (209 nucleotides) under Petasospora fabianii. Its description in RNAcentral is "Cyberlindnera fabianii partial ITS1". The record is from RNAcentral. Lineage: Eukaryota; Fungi; Ascomycota; Saccharomycetes; Phaffomycetales; Wickerhamomycetaceae.